GGCUUUAUAGUAUAAAAAUACAUUGGAUUGCAAGUUUAAAGAUGUGUCGAACACUAGGGGUU
Molecule: transfer RNA, 62 nt
Filed under: Bottapotamon lingchuanense
Lineage: Eukaryota; Metazoa; Arthropoda; Malacostraca; Decapoda; Potamidae
Description: tRNA-Cys
Source: RNAcentral